GACGAACGCUGGCGGCGUGCUUAACACAUGCCAGUCGAACGGAAAGGCCUCUUUCGGGGGGUACUCGAGUGGCGAACGGGUGAGUAACACGUGAGUAACCUGCCCUUGACUUUGGGAUAACUUCAGGAAACUGGGGCUAAUACCGGAUAGGAGCUCCUGCUGCAUGGUGGGGGUUGGAAAGUUUCGGCGGUUGGGGAUGGACUCGCGGCUUAUCAGCUUGUUGGUGGGGUAGUGGCUUACCAAGGCUUUGACGGGUAGCCGGCCUGAGAGGGUGACCGGCCACAUUGGGACUGAGAUACGGCCCAGACUCCUACGGGAGGCAGCAGUGGGGAAUAUUGCACAAUGGGUGGAAGCCUGAUGCAGCAACGCCGGGGGCGGGAUGACGGCCUUCGGGUUGUAAACCGCUUUCGCUCAUGACGAAGCUUUGUGUGACGGUAGUGGGUAAAGAAGCACCGGCUAACUACGUG
Molecule: ribosomal RNA, 467 nt
Filed under: uncultured bacterium
Lineage: Bacteria
Description: partial 16S ribosomal RNA
Rfam family: Bacterial small subunit ribosomal RNA
Source: RNAcentral